UGGGGAAUAUUGGACAAUGGGCGAAAGCCUGAUCCAGCAAUACCGCGUGUGUGAAGAAGGCCUUCGGGUUGUAAAGCACUUUAAGUUGGGAAGAAAAAACUUUACCUAAUACGUGAAGUCUUGACGGUACCGACAGAAUAAGCACCGGCUAACUCUGUGCCAGCAGCCGCAGUAAUACAGAGGGUGCUAGCGUUAAUCCGAUUUACUGGGCGUAAAGCGUGCGUAGGUGGUUUGAUAAGUCGGUUGUGAAAGCCCCGGGCUCAACCUGGGAAUUGCGGCCGAUACUGUCAGACUCGAAAACGGUAGAGGGAGGUGGAACUCCAGGUGUAGCGGUGAAAUGCGUAGAUAUCUGGAAGAACAUCGAUGGCGAAGGCAGCCUCCUGGGCCUGUUUUGACACUGAGGCACGAAAGCGUGGGUAGCAAACA
RNAcentral lists this ribosomal RNA (426 nucleotides) under uncultured bacterium. RNAcentral describes it as "partial 16S ribosomal RNA". It matches the Rfam family "Bacterial small subunit ribosomal RNA", at positions 355 to 774 of the family's 1533-position model. The record is from RNAcentral.